Acanthosepion pharaonis is the source of this 104-nucleotide non-coding RNA. Lineage: Eukaryota; Metazoa; Mollusca; Cephalopoda; Sepiida; Sepiidae. The record is from the annotation of a GenBank genome assembly.
GACCACAUUGCAUUGAAAUACUGGUUUCUGUAUGAUCACCAAAGUUAAGCAACAUUGAGGCUGCUCAGUACUUCAGUGGGUGACUGCUAGGGAAUACCAGGUGU